Molecule: non-coding RNA, 27 nt
Filed under: Homo sapiens (human)
Lineage: Eukaryota; Metazoa; Chordata; Mammalia; Primates; Hominidae
Source: RNAcentral
GCGAUGAGGAAGCAUUACUGUCUGGGU